GGCGGAGCCGCAUCGGAGGGGCGGCGGCCCGUGACCGCUCCGGACCUAGCUUGGGGCGGCGCCGGAAGGGGACGGGGGCGCGGCGGCGGAAGGGGUCGGGGGCGCGGCGGCUGAAGAGGUCGGGGGCGGAUCUGAGGGGCGGCGGAGCGGAUGAGUCCCCGGCGGUGGAUCUCAGGGACGGCGGCGGCUGAGGACGUCAGGGCGCGGCGGCGGACGUCACGGGCGCAGCGGACGUCACGGCCGGAGGUGGAUCUGAAGGGCGGCGACGGUCAGGGGCGGCGGAGGGCUGGGCAUCCCGAUUUUCAGGGGCGGCGGCGGCGAGAUCAAGGGAGAAGGUGAGGGGAACAGCGGGCGGUGGAUGGGGGCUGGCGCGGCGUAUGCUACGGGCGGCGGCGAAGGUGGGUGAGGCGGCGGAUGGGGGCUCCGGCGGAGGAGGUCAGGGCGGCGGGGUUGGAGCCGGGCGGUGCUGGCGUUGGGCUCGGGGGUGAGAGGAGGUGCGGUGAGAGGAGACGCGUGAGAAGAUCUGGGUCGAAA
This 534-nucleotide long non-coding RNA is filed under the name Setaria italica (foxtail millet). RNAcentral describes it as "long non-coding RNA (SITA_LNC002772)". Lineage: Eukaryota; Viridiplantae; Streptophyta; Magnoliopsida; Poales; Poaceae. The record is from RNAcentral.